UAUCCGGAUUUAUUGGGCGUAAAGGGCUCGUAGGCGGCUCGUCGCGUCCGGUGUGAAAGUCCAUCGCUUAACGGUGGAUCUGCGCCGGGUACGGGCGGGCUGGAGUGCGGUAGGGGAGACUGGAAUUCCCGGUGUAACGGUGGAAUGUGUAGAUAUCGGGAAGAACACCGAUGGCGAAGGCAGGUCUCUGGGCCGUCACUGACGCUGAGGAGCGAAAGCGUGGGGAGCGAACAGGAUUAGAUACCCUGGUAGUCCACGCCGUAAACGGUGGACGCUGGAUGUGGGGCACGUUCCACGUGUUCCGUGUCGGAGCUAACGCGUUAAGCGUCCCGCCUGGGGAGUACGGCCGCAAGGCUAAAACUCAAAGAAAUUGACGGGGGCCCGCACAAGCGGCGGAGCAUGCGGAUUAAUUCGAUGCAACGCGAAGAACCUUACCUGGGCUUGACAUGUUCCCGACGACGCCAGAGAUGGCGUUUCCCUUCGGGGCGGGUUCACAGGUGGUGCAUGGUCGU
This 512-nucleotide ribosomal RNA is filed under the name uncultured bacterium. Its description in RNAcentral is "bacterial SSU rRNA". It matches the Rfam family "Bacterial small subunit ribosomal RNA", at positions 542 to 1052 of the family's 1533-position model. The record is from RNAcentral.